This 64-nucleotide small RNA is filed under the name Agrobacterium tumefaciens str. CFBP 5621. RNAcentral describes it as "S-element". It matches the Rfam family "S-element". From Rfam's summary of the family: This family represents a group of S-elements from p42d and related plasmids. The record is from RNAcentral. Lineage: Bacteria; Pseudomonadati; Pseudomonadota; Alphaproteobacteria; Hyphomicrobiales; Rhizobiaceae.
AGUCAAGAGUCUUUGGCGCCGUUUCGGUGAGCGUUCUUCUUUUGCCUUUUUGAGAGGCGAAGAC